UGGGGAAUAUUGCACAAUGGAGGGAACUCUGAUGCAGCGACGCCGCGGGAACGAAGAAGGCUUUCGAGUCGUAAAGUUCUUCUAUAUGGGAAGAUAAUGACGGUACCAUAAGAUAAAGACACGGCUAACUACGUGCCAGCAGCCGCGGUAAUACGUAGGGGGCUAGCGUUGUCCGGAAUCACUGGGCGUAAAGGGUUCGCAGGCGGAAAUGCAAGUCAGGUGUAAAAGGCAGUAGCUUAACUACUGUAAGCAUUUGAAACUGCAUAUUUUGGGACGAUUAGAGGUAAGUGGAAUUUUUCGUGUAGCGGUGAAAUGCGUAGAUAUUAAAAAGACUACCGGUGGCGAAGGCGACUUCCUGGGCUCAUUCUGACGCUGAGGAACGAAAGCGUGGGUAGCAAACAGG
This 403-nucleotide ribosomal RNA is filed under the name Fusobacteriota bacterium. RNAcentral's name for it is "Fusobacteria bacterium partial 16S ribosomal RNA". It matches the Rfam family "Bacterial small subunit ribosomal RNA", at positions 355 to 776 of the family's 1533-position model. The record is from RNAcentral. Lineage: Bacteria; Fusobacteriati; Fusobacteriota.